CGGAGGGCACGCCUCCGCCGAAGCAGCAGUGGGAGGACGCGAAGGAUGAUGCUUCUGAUAAAGUCUGAACACUGCAGAGUUGCAAUUUACACAAGGUCAGUUACCACACAUCAACAUUUAAUUUGUUUGCUAUAUUAGAAAUAUUUUUCACUAUAGUGAAUGCCAGAAGCAUAUGACAUAGUAUAAUAUGUUAUAUGAGGCUCAUAAAUUAAACAAGAGAGUACUGGGUUAAUGUACCUGAGUAUAUCAACGGUUUAUCACCAAUUUAGGACAUCUUUGAAAACUAUAUUCUUGGUGCUCUUCCCUGUAGGAUCCAAUUCCUCUUUCGGUUUGGCUAAAAUUCUUGUUGUUGAUCUUGACACACCCCUUGAUAAACCAACAUAAAGCUGUCCAUGUGAGAACACGGGCUCUGGAAGGUAGAUCCCAACGUUUGGGAUGGUCUGUCCCUGCGAUUUAUUUAUUGUCAUGGCAAAACUUAACCUCACUGGGAAUUGUUUUCUCUUGAACUUAAAAGGAAGAGAAAUAUCAUCCGAGGGAGACAAUGGUAGCCUUGGUAUGAACACUCUUUUUCUCACAUGUUGACCACCAACGAUCUCAGCAUCAAUUGCAUUGUCUUGCAAUGCCCUGACCAUUAGCCUUGUUCCAUUGCACAAGCCGUUGUUAGGAUCUAGAUUACGUAGAAGAAUCACAGGACAAUUGAUUUUCAGUUUUAGCUCAUGUGGAGGAAGGCCAUUUGGAGUUAUUGAGUUCAAAAAAUCAAUAGGGAAGUGAUUUUGAGGAUCAUCAACGAUUGUGUCAAAGCUGUGGUAAACCUUCUCCUCACCUGGAAACCUUUCAAUCAUCAAUGCAUUCAGCCUAUCAACAUGUUCAUUUUUGGUUGAUAGAAUGGCCCGUCCGCUCAUAUAGGCAGCCGAUGUUGCAUGCUCUUCAAGUGACGGGAACACUGAGGAAAUGAGUCUAUUGACUGCCUCAUCCGUGUCAGUAUAUCCAAUCACAAUGUCAUCAGGGAGUCGAACAUAAUCAUCUCCAAUUGUUUCUUCGGUUCCGUUUCCGAUUCGUAGCAGGUACUCAGAAAACCAAGGGUCUGACUGUGCUCUCAUGUUUUGUGUCAAUCGUAUCUUUCUUAUUUGGUCCCACAAAUAUGAUUUCUGCAAAGUAGCAUCAGUUACCUGUGCUCUUGUCCCACGUGGCACCACAGGAAGGACCUGUCUAAAGUCUCCUCCAAAUACCAUGACCUUUCCUCCAAAUGGCAAACCACAUUCCAUGAUAUCCUGUAGGGACCUAUCAAGUGUCUCGACACACUGUCGCUUGGUCAUGGCAACUUCAUCCCAAAUAAUCAACGAGGCUCUACGAAGCAACUCGGCAGUGCCACUUUGCUUUGAAAAGCUGCACAUUGUGUUCUCCCCAAUUUUAAUUGGAAUUUUAAAUCUGGAGUGUGCAGUGCGUCCUCCGGGCAAUAUUGAUGCUGCUAUACCAGAUGUGGCUGUUGCAAUGGCUAUUAAACCUUUCGAACGAACUCUAGCAAGGAGCGCCUUGUAUAGGAACGUCUUUCCUGUUCCUCCUGGACCAUCCACAAAAAAAACUUGGCUCUUUUUGUCAAAGACAUGCUGAAUGAUUUCAUCAAACCCUUGUCUCUGCUCCUUGUUCAGAGAAUUAAAAAUAUCUAGGUGUUCUUGUUCAACAUAGACAUUCUGCUCCUCCCUAACUUCUUUCAUCAUGUCAAUGGAUGUUGGACCGAUCUCACAAAUAGGUGGCAGACCAUAAUCUCUAAUAUUUUUACCCAUCGAGUGAAGCAUAUCUCUUAUGUCCCUGAGCACCAUUUGCUCCACUAUCGACGGGUUGCUGUUGUCCCGACUGUAGUCUUCACCUAGCGCCUCCUUAUGCUUCUCCCACAGUCCACGUAUGUUAGUGGCCUCGCCAAACACAAGAAUUGUAGCAAACAACCUCCGCAAGGCACACGGCAUCUGAAAAGUGGUGGCCUCAGUCAAGCAAUCAUCGAUUGAUCUAUCUGUCUCGAUAAGGCCUCUUUUCUCACACGCUUCCCUAAAAGUAGAGUAUGUUACACCAGCCACUGUUCUCAAAUCCUCAAAAGAUGUUGCACCUCUCACAUGAUUUAGUAGUACUCUUAGGAAGUAUCUCUCCCCUUCAGCAGGGUUAGCAUAGACAAUCCGCCCUAUCUGCGCUGAUGCUAUUUUUCUUCUUUGCCACAUCUUUUUCCCUGUGAUCCACCGGUAGUGUUCUGGAAAUUCCCUAUAUAAUAUUUUCCUUGCUGCCACUUCUUCACUAUUUUUACUGAAAUAUUCUGUCAGUGUUGUCCUAUUAGAACUGGUGCGCCUCACAACAUCCUCCAGGUUUUCAUCCUCAUUAUAUGUCACAGACUGCAUAUUAGGCAAAUGUAGCUGAAGUUGCAAUACUGCAGGGUAAACUCCAAACAUCGGGAAUCCAAAUAUUCUAUGCACAGCUUCUGGUGCAGAUAUGUACCUAGCAUUCCUAUACUGUUUUAUUUCAUUGAUGACACCAUCAUCUGUAUCAUUUUGAUCUGCAUUUACUGAGAUUGAUGCUUGGUCAUGGCCUUUAUAAACAUACUUAAAUAGAUACUUCACUGCUUUAAUGCUUGAGCAUGCCUCAACAUUUAUGUGACAGUUGUAUCUGAAGAGCAGACCUGGGUUGUAUGGCACCACCCACCUGUUAUCUAACUCUGCUUUCCUAAUCUUGACUCGACGUCCGUCAUCCCUUCUCCGGUAGGUUGGAUAGGAGUCAUUGCCUUGUUGGGUUGCCUCACAGAACUGUCUAGGGUAUUGAAACCGACACUCUUCAUUGACCAUGCAUGCACAUUUUUUGUUUAGCACUCCACAUGGGCCAUGUAGCAUAUGGCUGAUAACAAGAUCAUGCAAGUCUGGAUAUUUGUCCUUGUCUGGUAUCUCUGCUGAAAUAACUCGAUCAUAUGCAUCUGGGGUGGUCAACUUACUCCCUGAUUUCAUAAUCAACAAUAAAUGCUCAUGUGGCAGACCCCUUUUUUGGAACUCUGUAACAUGAACAUAUGCAGCGACUUCACCAAAAUACUUCCUCUUGAUGAGUAGAUCUUUUAGAUCCCGCAAUUUUGCCCUGUACACUCUCGCAACCAGCUCCGGCCUAUCUUGUGGGUCCUGGCCUGGUUCUAGAUUGCUUGUUAUCUCUUCCCAGUAUGGAUUGCAUGUCAUGGUGAUGAAGUAAUCAGGCUUGCCAAAUCGUUGCACAAUAGCCAUAGCAUUAAGGAAUCUUUGUUGCAUGUCUCGAUCGCAUCCUGGGAAUGAUCUUGGCAACACAAUUCUCUUUCCAACCUUAGAACCCUGCGUCUCACCAACAGAGAUAACAUCAACCAGUCCCUACAAUAAUAGAUUUUGGCACUUUAUUUUAGCUUUAUGCAAUUCGAAUGUUGCCAAGGUAAUAAAAGUAUUUAUGAACAGUAGAACAUGAUUGGUUACCUGGUAUAAUUCCGCACGUAUAAGUUUUUGAUUAUCAGGAUUAGAGUACCAAUCUAGUCUCAUAGACUCAAUUUUUAUAUACAUAUCCACAGCCCACUGCUGGAAAAGACGCCCUCCGAAUAAUAAAAUGUUGAAAAUUCCCCGUCUAAUUUGCAACUUGAAGCAGUAGUAUUCUCGUGCAGUGACAUAUCUAGAAGAUUGUUCUGCAGCUGCACCCAGCAUGUCCCCUUCUUGUACGUCAUUGUCUCCUUCUUGCACUUGAUUCUCCGCUGCAAGUUAGUUAAAACAUUAGAGAUCACGGGCGACUGGACUCCAGUAUAUAUAUCAUUGAAUCAGCUAGUACCAGUAUAUAUAUAUAUUAUUAUGAGUUAAUACCAUGAUUAUUAGUAGAUGCCGGUGUUGAAGCUGGUGGAGCGUCUGGACUUCCACUGUACGGACUCCCACUGUACGGCAUAAACUUGUUCCAUCCUGUUUCUCCUCGUGGGUUAUAUAAAGGAUAAGCUAAGGGGUCAUAACAACCAUGCCAUGCUCGGAUAUAUUGUGGACGACGAUCAGAUUUCCCAUAUACUAUCACACUUCUAUCAAAACUUCUUUGUGGAUCGUUUCCUUCCAUCCAGAUAGCAGCAACUUGGGAUGUCGUUGGGGCAUUGUACUUUCUUUGGUCAGGUGUGACAUUUGUAUUGAGUUCGAUCCGGUACUCAUCCAAAUUUGGAAAAUCCCUAUUUCUCCUAAAAGUACUCACAUAUGGGUUAUCUUGCAAUAUUGCAAGGAUAGUCCGUAUGAGGUUUACAUUAAGAUCGGGGGAUCUUUUGACCCUAUGUGAUAAGGCUCCAUCUUCUGUAUCAUAAAAGUAUAACUGUAGAUGUCGAGCACUGUCAUCACCUGCCACAAGAUGGUCAAGACGGUGGUACAACCCGCCCUGAACUCGAAAUGUGUAAACACCAGACCCUGCUGGACUUUUUACACUAUCGUCAGUGGUGACCCCUAGACUUGCAAACGCAAAAUGUGAGUUGAUAUAACGUAUAUGUUUCCUGAAAUACUUUGCAUCACUAUGCACUUGGCUUGUGAACAACCUCUUUAGCUCUGAAGGAACAUCUGGUAUAUGUAUCUGUACUUUGCCCUUUCUACAACAAAAUCCGGGUGUCUCAUAUUGAAACCUAAUCGCACCACAAUAACUGCAGUCAGGGACAUUUCUCAAUUUAUAUCGUUCUGGUAGGUUUUGGUAGAUGUAGUCAUAUGGAUCAUCAUGUGGCUGAACAUUCGCAGCCUUUCCCUCUGGAAGCACGCGAUAUGACUCAUAGCGUUGACCUUGUGCAUGUCGCUGAAUGAAUCUGUCAUCAUCGUCUAAGUUUUCAUUGUGCAAUCCAUGUCCAUCUUCCAUGUCAUCUUCAUCACCAUCCCUUCCACCAUUUAUUGGUUCAAAUAGUUCACGGUCAAAUUCUUCUUCAUCGGAGUGGACAUGUACAUGGUUCCUGUGUUGCGCGGGUAAUUGUCCUUCUGCAUAAACACAUUUAAUAUUACCACAAAAAAUAUUAAAAAAUAUAGUAUAGGAAAACAGAGUGUCCUUGAUGUGCAGACCUGUCUCAGCUGUAAUAGGUGGUUCCCUACGUGUAGGAACAUAAUUAUCAUUUUUGUGUAACCAAUCUCUAGGCUCCCCAGAGUCAUCAAUUUGCACUAUUGUCGAUAAUCCAGUUCCCAAAUUCGCACUUGCGGUUGUGGACGGUUGAACAAUUACUCCACCACUGUCUUGGUUGGCAAUGCUCGUGGUUUUCUUAUUUUGCAACUCAGCCUUUUUUCGUGCUCGAUAUUGACGUUGGUACUCAGCAGCCUUCCUUCUCUUUUCUUGUAACUCUUCGUUGGUCAACUCAACUUUCCUCUUUCGAUGUUGGUUAUUUCUUGUGUCCAUCACUGUGUUAGCAGUAUCUGCAUAUCCACUUCUGUAAGGCUAGUCAUCAUUGGGAUUAGAUAUGCCACAUGAAGUGAUGGUAAUUGAUAGUUACCGUUGUUCAAAGGUAGUCUACUUUCUAUCGUGGCUCCUGUGAGCAGUCCACCGUAGCUAUGAUUCCCAUCUGUAGUUGGCUCGGUAUUUGACUCGUUCGUAAUAAAUGGUGAAUUUUGGUCUAUCCCAAAAUGCUGAUCACCUGCAUAAAUGGAGUGUCAUCUCGUAUAAAUUGUUGUAGUAAUAAAUAGAGUGACAUCAUCUUGUAUUUGUACUAUAAUAAUUCAUGUCAUGUAUGCGAUAUUUACCAAUAGCCAUAGAUUCUAUAUUUUCCUUGUCCAAACAAAGUGCAGAGUUCUGGAUUCGACAUUCUUCCUUUGUCGAUAUUGACGCGAGUAUUCACGUUGUUUCCUUCUCAUCUCCUCCUUUCGUUCGUCGGACAUCUCGGCUCGACGAGCCCAUUGCCGCAAGUUCCGUUCUUCCCUCGUCCGUCGGGCAUCAUCUAUAGAGAGAUGGAAAAUAAAUAGACACCCACAAAUACUAUACAUGUACCCUAUUUGGCAUCAUACCUGCGACGUUAGUGAUGUCACUUAGUGCACUGGGUGUAUCUCGGACCGUCGACAUUGGGUAGGAUAGGAGGCAACACCUUUUGAUUUUUCAAAGGAUCGCAGUAGUCCACAAGAGAAUAAUCAGAAUGAACAAAUUUAGAAACAAACAAAUAAUAACGCAGGCAUAAAUUCAGAGAGAUAAACAAAAAUUAAUGCAGCCAUAAAUUCAAUAGUAGAAGUAUAAUAUAUAUAUAUAUAUAUAUUUUUUGCAGUAGUAGAAGAAGCACAGUGGAAUGCACAAGUGGACCUGGUUCUUCACGAGGCGUUCAGGUUGUCAUAUUCAUUUUACUCCUAUCACUUUGCUGGGAGGGGCAGAGACAAACAAAUAAUAAUGCAGGCAUAAUUUCAGAGAGAUAAACAAAAAUUAAUGCAGGCAUAAAUUCAGUAGUAGAAGUAUAAUAAUAUAUAUAUAUAUAUAUAUAUAUAUAUAUAUAUAUAUAUAUAUAUAUAUAUAUAUAUAUAUAUUUUGCAGUAGUAGAAGAAGCACAGUGGAAUGCACAAGUGGACCUGGUUCUUCACGAGGCGUUUAGAGACGAAGGAGAAGCUGGGCGUCAGUUGUGGUAGAUGAAGGCAGAGAUGGAUCGCGCGAAUUAGCCGACCUAGCUGCGGCAGCAGCCUGAGGCGGUCUUCCACGACUGGGUUCGGCAAGAUGCGGCAGCAGCCCGACGCGGUCCUCGGCCUUCCUCCAUGGCCAUUCCUCCACGGCCACGAUCGGACACGGUCCUCCACGGGGCGGUCUUUCCACGGCCACGAUCGGACGCGGUCCUCCACGGCUUCCACGGCCGGAAUCGGGGAGGUCUUCCACGGCCGGAAUCAAUUUGGAGUUACUGAGGCCACGAUCGGCUUCCACGGCCGGAAUCAAUUUGGAGUUACGGAGGCCACCACGGAGGUUUUCACGGGGUUUGUUUUUUUUGCGAUACGGUGUGAGGGCGUGAGGCGAGGCGAGGCUGGCGACCGUGAAGGCGUGAGGCGAGCGAGGAUGUAAGGUUGGCAUCAUACUUUUAAUCUCAGCCGUCUGUUUUGUAGGACAUGUGCUGUAAGUCGUUGAUGUUGCAGGUGGGGAUUGGCUGGAGUAGAUUUCAAUUAUAGUAGAGAUUAACUUUUUGGUUUAACCGUAGCGUUAACGGGGCACGAUACUAGUUGCUUUAGGCCUUGUUUAUUUCCGAAAAAAUUUUGGAUUUCGCUACUGUAGCACUUUUCGUUUUUAUUUGAUAAAUAUUGUUCAAUCAUAAACUAACUAGGAUCAAAAGAUUCGUCUCGCGAUU
Molecule: long non-coding RNA, 7276 nt
Filed under: Sorghum bicolor (sorghum)
Lineage: Eukaryota; Viridiplantae; Streptophyta; Magnoliopsida; Poales; Poaceae
Description: long non-coding RNA (SBIC_LNC015738)
Source: RNAcentral